GAGUCAACUAAAAUUAAUUUUGAUGGCUUUAAUUAUAAUUUGUACAAUGCAAAAAGUGACAAUUAUUUUGCAUUCCGUCCAGCAUUAUUUGGCAAUCAUUCAGCAAUCAUUUUUAAAUGUCUUUGUUGUAAGGAAACAUGACACUAUCGCAAAUAUUCAGUUUCUCUGUUACUGUACACCAACUAACGUACCAGCGAAAAAUACCUGAUUGCGCCACUAGAGGGCAGUACCUUAUUCAUAUCACAGUCACAACAUUCACUCAGAAGUAAAUGGUAAAGGUCAUGUCAUGUCAUUGGGGUCAGGUGAGUUUAAAACCCAAUUCUAGAAGAUUUACAAGAAUUUCAAUAAAACAAAUAUACCCCUUGACUUGGAAGAAUAUGACUUUUGACUAAGUUUAGGCAACGGUAGAUAAUUCAUUUUAUUGAAGGGAACAGAUUGAAUGUGCAAUUCUGCGUAAAAAGGGCCUUAAGUCCACCUGCAUCAGGAGACUACGACUUGGUUCUGUCACCUGGCAUGACGAUACACCUCCGACAACGUAAAAUGUGUUGUCUGAAAACCUUCUCGUUCAGUCUCUCCUUGUCUCUCCUCCCUACGGCGGUCGGCAGGACUGGGAAGCGAAGCGACAAGGUAUCUCUAUACCUCCCACCGGGUGGAGGUGGUGAUUUAUAGACGGCGUCGCUGGGGAAACCAACCACAUUUCAUUUAGAUCACGUUGGCCUGUUCGGCGGCGGAAUCCUCCCCGGGAGAGGCCCUGGUAAUGGGAAAACGUCUGCAUCGAUAUAUCUCCCCCGCGAGGCCAUUCGACCCUCCCCUCCCCUCCUCUCGAAGCGGACGCUCCUACCACUGCAUCACCCUCCUGAGAUAAGUUUACGACGCAUGCAGAUUCCUCAUUUUUACCGGACUGGAAUCCAUUACUGGGAGAGGUAGAGAGUAGGCUAACCAGGGCCGGGGGUCGAACAGGGGUAGAGCUAGUAGGCUAACCAGGGCCGGGGGUCGAACAGGGGGUAGAGAGUAGGCUAACCAGGGCCGGGGGUCGAACAGGGGGGUAGAGGGGGUAGAGCAGCCUAGUGGGGCACUGUAAACACACACACACACAGCUUACCUGGUCUCUCAAUCGUACAGGUAUCGUAAACAUCGUCAUAAAACUGCCAUCAGGCAAUCAUAGGGGUAAUUUCUGUUCCUUAAGGGCCACAAUGGAACUGUCAAAGGCAGUGGUGGAAAAAGUACCCAAUUGAGUAAAAGUAAAGAUACCUUAAUAGAAAAUGACUCAAGUCAAAGUGAGAGUCACCCAGUAAAAUAAUAAUAAUAAUAAUAAUACUAAUAAUAAUAAUAAUAAUACCACUUGAGUAGAAGUCUGAAAGUAUCUGGUUUUAAAUAUACUUAAAUAUCAA
Molecule: long non-coding RNA, 1391 nt
Organism: Oncorhynchus tshawytscha (Chinook salmon)
Lineage: Eukaryota; Metazoa; Chordata; Actinopteri; Salmoniformes; Salmonidae
Source: Ensembl